ACUGUACCUUGAGCAGCACCUGCUGGCAGCUUCCAGGGAUCACGCCGGAACGCGGCCGCUGCUCGAGCCCAGCUCGCAGGAUGCCUGGAGCCAGGGCCAAGCCGGUCUAAGCGGCAGCCUCUAUUUUUACCCUGAGCACCAGCAAGGGCAACUUCUUUUAAGAGCAGCUCUUGAUUUUUUCCCCCCUUUUGGCAGCUAAAGAAUUCAGGGAGGGGAAAAAAAUCACUGUUCAGUGAGUGCAGCUGGGAAUCUCUGAACCCAGCCCUCAGUGCCAGGGAGUGAAACCACAGCAAAUGUCAGGGAGCGGGACCUGCGGAGGGGCCGGCUGGCUCCCCGCGGACAGAGGCGAGCCGGGAGCGCUCGCGCACCAGCCAACUGCCCCCUUCUGAGUGCGGAGCGCGGUCCUCCAGCGACUGCACUAGCAAAGUGGCCCGCUGCCACCGCGUUAUUCACCUAGUGGAGGCGGCCUGAUUUACUGGCGACUUCACAAACCCAACUCCACGCUGGAGCAUUUGCAUGGCUCUGUUCUCGCCUCGAGGAGCAGCCACUAGCGAACCCGGUGGAGCAGCUUGCUGCGAGAAGGAGCCGGGAGGGAAACUGUGAGCCUUGGAAAGAUGGGCAAAUGCUCUGUGACAAGCCACCAGGGUAGACUGGUACUGAAAAGACCCUACUACACACAGGGGCUCUGUCCCUGGCUGGAAAGUUACAAGUCAGCCUACCUCUCUGUGAUCUGGUUUCCACACCUACUACUCUUUAUCCCAUGAGGAGCUUCUGGAAACUAAAAUAGCAGCUGCCCAGGUAGAAGAGUGUUGACCAAAGGACACAUCACCAGCACAGACUGUUAAUCAUGUGACUAGAGAAAACUCUCAUGGUGGCAUUCAAAUUUCCAUAUCCUUCUUCUAUGGAAAUUUCUGAGAGACCCAGAAAAGAAGCGUAACGACGAGGGAAAGUGAUUCCUGCAGACCUGAACAUUCCAGACUUACCAGGUGAUCCAGCUGUCUGUCAGCGGGAAGAGGCUGAGGCGCCCCCUUCUGGUGCAUCUGAAUAGUAAGAAACCCUGUGUAGAAAGAAACCCUGUAGCAAUUGGGCACCUUCUCCGUGAUCUGUCUGCUUCCAAUACCAAAAAUUGUUGCUUUUUAAAUGACAUCCAUCCUAAGCUUAAAAAAGACGCAUAUUAUUUGUAUAAAAUGUUGAAGACGCAGAACAAAAAAUGUAAAUCACAUGUAAUCAUCCCUUCCAGAAAUAAUCGUUAUUAAAAUUUCUGUGUAUGUGUAAAAAAAAAAAUUGCAAUCCUACUGUAAUAUAAUCCUGUAUACUGAUAUUUUUCACCUAUCACUGUAUGUUGAGCAUUUUCAAUAGUCAAAUUAUUUCUUGAAAAUAUUAAUGACUGGGGAGUAACCUUUCAAAUAGGUGUGUCUUUAUUUUUAAACCAGUCCACAAUUAUUGUAUAUUGAAGUCAUUUCCCAAAUUUUGUAAGUAUAAGUAUUGCAUCCAUCCUUAUAUGUAUUUAAAUGCAUCUCUUAUUAUUUCCUUGAGAUAAGUUCCUAGAAGUGGAAUCACUGGAUUUAAAAAUGUGGACAUAUUUAUGCCAGACGCGGUGGGUCAUGCCUGUAAUCCCAGCACUUUGGGAGACUGAAGCAGGUGGAUCACUUGAGGUCAGGAGUUCAAGACCAGCCUGGCCAACAUAGUGAAACCCCAUCUCUACUAAAAUUACAAAAAUUAGCCGGGUGUGGUAGUGCACGCCUGUAAUCCCAGCUACUCAGGAGGCUGAGGCAUAAGAAUCACUUGAACUCAGGAGGCGGAGGUUGCAGUGAGCCAAGAUGGCACCACUGCGCUCCAGUCUGGGCGACAGAGUAAGACUUCAUCUCAAAAAUAAAUAAAUAAAAUUAAAAUUAAAUAAGAUAAAUAAAAAAUAAAAAUGUGGACAUAUUUAAAUCUUCAUAUAUAUUACCAAAUGCCCUCCUGAAAGUUUUUACCUGUUACAUUCCAACCAAUAGUGUAAGGGCAUGACUCUUUCCCUGUGUUUUGGGAUGGAUGUUAUCAAAGUUCUCUCCCACCCAGGCCAAGUAUGGUAUAUGCUUUGAUUUAAUUUGAAUUUUUAAAUUAUUAUUUAAAAUGGACAUUUUGUUGUCCAUUUGAACAACUUUCUUUUGAGUCACUGUUCAUGUUCUUUGCCCAUUGUUUCUCUUUUAUUAGUAAGAACCCUAUUGUCAUUUUUAUAUUUUAAAUAAAAUUUCAUUGUAUAUACAUUUAUAUUAUCUAUAGUAAAGUAUAUUUUAUUAUUAAUGAGAACUUUUUAUAUUAAAGAUCCU
This 2312-nucleotide long non-coding RNA is filed under the name Homo sapiens (human). RNAcentral describes it as "non-protein coding INHBA-AS1:13". The record is from RNAcentral. Lineage: Eukaryota; Metazoa; Chordata; Mammalia; Primates; Hominidae.